GGGUUGUGAGGUUAAGCGACUAAGCGUACACGGUGGAUGCCUAGGCAGUCAGAGGCGAUGAAGGACGUGCUAAUCUGCGAUAAGCGUCGGUAAGCUGAUAUGAAGCGUUAUGAGCCGGCGAUGUCCGAAUGGGGAAACCCAGUGCAAUGCGUUGCACUAUCGUUCGAUGAAUUCAUAGUCGAACGAGGCGAACCGGGGGAACUGAAACAUCUCAGUACCCCGAGGAAAAGAAAUCAACCGAGAUUCCCCCAGUAGCGGCGAGCGAACGGGGAGCAG
Molecule: ribosomal RNA, 276 nt
Filed under: Photorhabdus khanii
Lineage: Bacteria; Pseudomonadati; Pseudomonadota; Gammaproteobacteria; Enterobacterales; Morganellaceae
Description: partial 23S ribosomal RNA
Rfam family: Bacterial large subunit ribosomal RNA
Source: RNAcentral